RNAcentral lists this ribosomal RNA (527 nucleotides) under Providencia rettgeri. Its description in RNAcentral is "bacterial SSU rRNA". It matches the Rfam family "Bacterial small subunit ribosomal RNA", at positions 934 to 1461 of the family's 1533-position model. The record is from RNAcentral. Lineage: Bacteria; Pseudomonadati; Pseudomonadota; Gammaproteobacteria; Enterobacterales; Morganellaceae.
GGAGCAUGUGGUUUAAUUCGAUGCAACGCGAAGAACCUUACCUACUCUUGACAUCCAGAGAAUUUAGCAGAGAUGCUUUAGUGCCUUCGGGAACUCUGAGACAGGUGCUGCAUGGCUGUCGUCAGCUCGUGUUGUGAAAUGUUGGGUUAAGUCCCGCAACGAGCGCAACCCUUAUCCUUUGUUGCCAGCGAUUCGGUCGGGAACUCAAAGGAGACUGCCGGUGAUAAACCGGAGGAAGGUGGGGAUGACGUCAAGUCAUCAUGGCCCUUACGAGUAGGGCUACACACGUGCUACAAUGGCGUAUACAAAGAGAAGCGACCUCGCGAGAGCAAGCGGAACUCAUAAAGUACGUCGUAGUCCGGAUUGGAGUCUGCAACUCGACUCCAUGAAGUCGGAAUCGCUAGUAAUCGUAGAUCAGAAUGCUACGGUGAAUACGUUCCCGGGCCUUGUACACACCGCCCGUCACACCAUGGGAGUGGGUUGCAAAAGAAGUAGGUAGCUUAACCUUCGGGAGGGCGCUUACCACU